This 253-nucleotide ribosomal RNA is filed under the name uncultured bacterium. Its description in RNAcentral is "partial 16S ribosomal RNA". It matches the Rfam family "Bacterial small subunit ribosomal RNA", at positions 524 to 776 of the family's 1533-position model. The record is from RNAcentral.
UACGAAGGGGGCUAGCGUUGCUCGGAAUCACUGGGCGUAAAGGGUGCGUAGGCGGGUUUUUAAGUCAGGGGUGAAAUCCUGGAGCUCAACUCCAGAACUGCCUUUGAUACUGAAGAUCUUGAGUCCGGGAGAGGUGAGUAGAACUGCGAGUGUAGAGGUGAAAUUCGUAGAUAUUCGCAAGAACACCAGUGGCGAAGGCGGCUCACUGGCCCGGUACUGACGCUGAGGCACGAAAGCGUGGGGAGCAAACAGG